CCUUUUCAGACAGGCCUUUAGGAAUUCUAUAAAAACAUCAAAACAACAUAAUAAUAUCAACAGAUAAGCGCCUAAACAGUGA
Molecule: long non-coding RNA, 82 nt
Organism: Sinocyclocheilus grahami
Lineage: Eukaryota; Metazoa; Chordata; Actinopteri; Cypriniformes; Cyprinidae
Exons: 3
Source: RefSeq, a predicted model, not a curated record